This 255-nucleotide ribosomal RNA is filed under the name uncultured bacterium. Its description in RNAcentral is "partial 16S ribosomal RNA". It matches the Rfam family "Bacterial small subunit ribosomal RNA", at positions 524 to 776 of the family's 1533-position model. The record is from RNAcentral.
UACGUAGGGGGCAAGCGUUGUCCGGAUUUAUUGGGCGUAAAGAGCUCGUAGGCGGCUUGUCGCGUCGGAUGUGAAAGCCCGGGGCUUAACUCCGGGUCUGCAUUCGAUACGGGCAGGCUAGAGUGUGGUAGGGGAGACUGGAAUUCCUGGUGUAGCGGUGAAAUGCGCAGAUAUCAGGAGGAACACCGGUGGCGAAGGCGGGUUCUCUGGGCCUUACCUGACGCUGGAGGAGCGAAAGCGUGGGGAGCGAACGGG